RNAcentral lists this ribosomal RNA (490 nucleotides) under uncultured bacterium. Its description in RNAcentral is "partial 16S ribosomal RNA". It matches the Rfam family "Bacterial small subunit ribosomal RNA", at positions 30 to 507 of the family's 1533-position model. The record is from RNAcentral.
AUUGAACGCUGGCGGCAGGCCUAACACAUGCAAGUCGAACGGUAACAGGAAGAAGCUUGCUUCUUUGCUGACGAGUGGCGGACGGGUGAGUAAUGUCUGGGAAACUGCCUGAUGGAGGGGGAUAACUACUGGAAACGGUAGCUAAUACCGCAUAACGUCGCAAGACCAAAGAGGGGGACCUUCGGGCCUCUUGCCAUCGGAUGUGCCCAGAUGGGAUUAGCUAGUAGGUGGGGUAACGGCUCACCCAGGCGACGAUCCCUAGCUGGUCUGAGAGGAUGACCAGCCACACUGGAACUGAGACACGGUCCAGACUCCUACGGGAGGCAGCAGUGGGGAAUAUUGCACAAUGGGCGCAAGCCUGAUGCAGCCAUGCCGCGUGUAUGAAGAAGGCCUUCGGGUUGUAAAGUACUUUCAGCGGGGAGGAAGGGAGUAAAGUUAAUACCUUGACUCAUUGACGUUACCCGCAGAAGAAGCACCGGCUAACUCCGUG